AAACCCUAAUAGACAACUUCAUCGUCGCUUUCAUUCUUCUGGAUCCAUCCCUGUGUUUUCUUCACUCACUUUAACCCUAAUAGACAACUUCAUCACCGUUAUGAGAUUAUUUAGAUGAUGUUCUUCCUUCAGCGAUUCGUCAAUGUUCAUCACAUGAGAAGGUUGUGAAGUGUAAUAUUAACUGGAACAUGGUGGAUUAACUUGCUUUUUAUGGGCUUCCAGCAGCCGAAGGAAUUUGGUUGUAGGUGCACAGGCGCACAGGCUAUUUUUUGGACAUCGAUUUGUUUUUUUCGUCAAUUGCAACGAGAUGUAACCAGCGGCAGCUUACAAGUAGGGUACCUUAGUGCCAUCUUUGCUCAAUCUCUGCAACUAUUUCGUCCAUCAAUCUUCGUUAUUCACGGCUUUAUCAUGUUGUUGCUAUUCGAAGCCCUAAUUAGAACAGCACAAAAUGUUUGUUCUACAGUUCCUACAGUUUCAGUUGAAGUCUGCACCGAUUUCUUAUCUUGACUUUGCUGUUGAAAUCAAUUGACUUGUUGCAGCAGCAUUGAUGUUUCAACAGAAUGUAUAAGCUCUUAUUUUUGGGCCUUUGAAGGAUUGGAGUGCGGCAAAGCUGAUUGUCGGUGCGCUUUUGCAGCAGUUUCUUCUGUUUGCGAGGUGGCAGAUUGAGACGGCACAAGCACAGAAAGUAUUUGUAGAAUGUUGGAUCAAGCCUCGAAAGUCGAGCUCUUUUUAUAGAAGCAGGCCUUAAAUUUCUUCGUGUAGCCUCUUUAUUUGAAUCCUGCCAUAGCCAAACAGGGAGAUACGGUGAUAUGAUUGUCCAAACUAGGUGUGCAGGGGUUAUUAAAGUGGGUGGUGAAGUGGGUUGCAUGCUUAGUGAAGGCCCAUGGAUGUUUGUGGGUCUGUCAAACCUUGUCAAUGCGUGGAUUGUGCAAACUUCUGUCUAGUUGAGUCUUAAUGGACCUGUUGGGCAAGUCUAUUCACUGGUUGUAGGAAACGAUUACUAUUUGCUGGUACACAGCUGUUAGUAGCAUAUUCCAUGUUUACAUGGGGAAGACUAGCCUUACACAUUUACGGUCCUUAUAUUUGAGCUGACAAAUAUCAACUUGAGGUGAUCAUGGAUGAAACUCCUCAGCUUGCAAAAGGAGCUGCGAAAGCUAUGUAUGAGUUAUAUGAUGUAGUAACUCACAAUCUCCUGUCAUCUGAGCUAGGAGUGCGAAUGCAUUAUGGACAUCACGAUGUCUUUGACCGAAUAUUUCAUAUUUCUCGAGGUGGAAUAAGUAAGGCAUCACGUGUUAUUAAUAUUAGCGAAGAUAUAUAUGCAGGGUUCAAUUCCAUUGAGACAGGGUAACAUCACACACCAUGAAUACAUUCAGGUGGGGAAAGGAAGAAAUGUGGGUUUAAAUCAAAUUGCCCUGUUUGUUUGAAGGUAAAGUUGCUGGUGGGAAUUGGGGAGCAAGUUUUAAGCAGAGAUAUGUAUAGAGUUGGUCAACUCUUUGACUUUUUUAGAAUGCUCACUUUCUACUUUACCACAGUUGGUUACUAUGUAUGCACAAUGGCAUUCUCAGGACUUAUCAAGGAAUUACCCGUAGAUCCAUGUUGCUCGGAUCAUUCUCGGCCCUGUUUGAGUCGUUCAGAGAAGUUCGUAUCCGAAUUAAGAGGCGGAAACUAAUAAUUCGGUGCUAUUGAAGCUGUAUACACUUUAAACUUGCUGUUGUAUUGAUUUUGAACUCGAUUACAAGAUUUGACAGCACUUCGGCAGCAUACCGGAACAAACACCUU
Molecule: long non-coding RNA, 1779 nt
Filed under: Helianthus annuus (common sunflower)
Lineage: Eukaryota; Viridiplantae; Streptophyta; Magnoliopsida; Asterales; Asteraceae
Source: RNAcentral